ACACGACUACAUUAGAUACCCCGGUAGUCCUAGCCGUAAACGAUACUCGCUAGGUGUCGGCCACGGUGCGACCGUUGUCGGUGCCGUAGGGAAGCCGUGAAGCGAGCCACCUGGGAAGUACGGCCGCAAGGCUGAAACUUAAAGGAAUUGGCGGGGGAGCACCACAACGGGUGGAGCUUGCGGUUUAAUUGGAUUCAACGCCGGAAAUCUUACCGGGACCGACAGCAACAUGAAGGCCAGGCUGAAGACUUUACCGGAUUAGCUG
RNAcentral lists this ribosomal RNA (265 nucleotides) under uncultured archaeon. Its description in RNAcentral is "partial 16S ribosomal RNA". It matches the Rfam family "Archaeal small subunit ribosomal RNA", at positions 717 to 982 of the family's 1478-position model. The record is from RNAcentral.